RNAcentral lists this ribosomal RNA (122 nucleotides) under Procavia capensis (Cape rock hyrax). The record is from RNAcentral. Lineage: Eukaryota; Metazoa; Chordata; Mammalia; Hyracoidea; Procaviidae.
GGUCUAGACCCUACCACCCUGAAAGUGCCUCUCUCACCUGAUGUCGGAAGCCAAGCAUGGUUGGGCUGCUUAGUACCUGGGAGGGAGACAACCUGGGAAUACCAUGUGCUGUGUGUAGGCUU